UUUUAUUUAUUUAUUUUUGAAAUAAUGCAUCAUGCCCAUUGCAACUUCAGUUAUUAGCAUGUUGAUUGGCCAUUUCUCAGGUGGUUUUAUAAGGUAAUAAUCUUUCCCCCAUUCUGGGUUGGACAGGACACAUAUGAUAACAGUGGGUCUUUCUAAAGUGAGGAUGGAAGCCAUGACAUGACAAAUACCUAGUCACACAUCUAUUGGUAAGAGCGUUGUUUUUACAGUAAAGAAAUGAAAGUUGAGUUCAAAUUCAUAAUGAUAAAAACAUGAUUACAUGAACUAUUAUGACCAAAAAACUAUAAACUAAGUAUGAACGGAACUGUACAAAAAAGUACUUAACCUAGUGUAAGCCAAUGAUAAAUAUCUGCUGUUCAAACCACCCAGAUGUUUCCAAAAAAGUUUUUGGCUUAGGUUACACGUUCAGAAUAUGAUAUGACCUUUUCACAUCAAAUAGAUGAGGGUAAUUCCAUCUCAGUUCAUCGUGUUUAAUAAAAAAAUUCCCUCCUCACAGCUUGUCAAAAUAUUGAAAAAAAGGGGGGGAAAAGUACAUUUAAUAUGAAUUGUAAAACAAAAUAAACAAAAAGAAAUAGGAAAAAAAUGGAAGGUUUCCUGGCUUUAUUAAUGUGGAAUCUUGGGAAUGUAGCUAAAGUUACUGCAGCAUGAUUGAUGGAAGUCCCUAAGAUAUUUGGAUGUUUGGUCUUUGAAGGUAGAUUUGGAUGCCUGUAGAAAUCAUAAUUUAGUAUGUGUGGGAAUAAUAUUUAAUAGACAAUUCAUGUAUGGCAGCCAAAGAUUAUAACAAAUUAUAUCAUUUCUAAAAUUCACAGAUUUUAAGAUAAAAGACCUAAAUUAUAACCAAUGAUUUUUGUUUACUAGGCAAGAAGGCUAGCUCUGAUACUAAGGCUUCAAAUAUUAAUUCUAACAAUAUGUAAAGUAUUUCCAAUAUAUAAUUUUUAAUCAGUAAUAUUUUCAUCAACAGUGCUCGGUAAUUCAGUUUAUUUAUUUUUUAAGGGAAACUAUAGUCGGUACACAAACAACUUUUUUCCCUUUCAAGAAAUCAUCGACUGAAUGCAAUCGUCAGGUGUCAUCAAAAUUCACUUGACUUCCUUCAAAUAAGUCAUCCUCUUUAAUACAUUUAUAUAUUUUUGUUUUGUGUUGUAAUAGCAGGACGUUAAAAUCUGUCCAAAUCACCCUUAA
Long non-coding RNA from Astatotilapia calliptera (eastern happy), 1197 nucleotides. NCBI's taxonomy places the organism in Eukaryota, Metazoa, Chordata, Actinopteri, Cichliformes, Cichlidae. The record is from Ensembl.